RNAcentral lists this ribosomal RNA (112 nucleotides) under uncultured eukaryote. Its description in RNAcentral is "partial small subunit ribosomal RNA". The record is from RNAcentral.
UCGCUGCCCGGGACUGAGCCGUUUCGAGAAGAAUGAGGACUGAACCUUGAUCGUCUUAACCGACUGUCUAGGAUUGGGAAUCGUUUUAAUCGCAGUGGCUUGAACCGGGCAA